Molecule: transfer RNA, 72 nt
Filed under: Equus asinus (donkey)
Lineage: Eukaryota; Metazoa; Chordata; Mammalia; Perissodactyla; Equidae
Also listed under: 1 other name
Rfam family: tRNA
About the family: Transfer RNA (tRNA) molecules are approximately 80 nucleotides in length. Their secondary structure includes four short double-helical elements and three loops (D, anti-codon, and T loops).
Source: Rfam by way of RNAcentral
CACAGAGUGGCCCAGUAGAAGAGCACUGGGCCCAAAACCCAGAGGCUGGUGCAUCAAAACCAUCUUCUGUUG